AGAGUUUGAUCCUGGCUCAGGACGAACGCUGGCGGCGUGCUUAACACAUGCAAGUCGAACGGAAAGGCCCUUUCGGGGGUACACGAGUGGCGAACGGGUGAGUAACACGUGGGUAAUCUGCCCUGCACAUCGGGAUAAGCCUGGGAAACUGGGUCUAAUACCGAAUAGGACCACAGGACACAUGUCCUGUGGUGGAAAGCUUUUGCGGUGUGGGAUGGGCCCGCGGCCUAUCAGCUUGUUGGUGGGGUGAUGGCCUACCAAGGCGACGACGGGUAGCCGGCCUGAGAGGGUGUCCGGCCACACUGGGACUGAGAUACGGCCCAGACUCCUACGGGAGGCAGCAGUGGGGAAUAUUGCACAAUGGGCGAAAGCCUGAUGCAGCGACGCCGCGUGGGGGAUGACGGCCUUCGGGUUGUAAACCUCUUUCACCAUCGACGAAGGUCCGGGUUUUCUCGGGCUGACGGUAGGUGGAGAAGAAGCACCGGCCAACUACGUGCCAGCAGCCGCGGUAAUACGUAGGGUGCGAGCGUUGUCCGGAAUUACUGGGCGUAAAGAGCUCGUAGGUGGUUUGUCGCGUUGUUCGUGAAAUCUCACGGCUUAACUGUGAGCGUGCGGGCGAUACGGGCAGACUUGAGUACUGCAGGGGAGACUGGAAUUCCUGGUGUAGCGGUGGAAUGCGCAGAUAUCAGGAGGAACACCGGUGGCGAAGGCGGGUCUCUGGGCAGUAACUGACGCUGAGGAGCGAAAGCGUGGGGAGCGAACAGGAUUAGAUACCCUGGUAGUCC
RNAcentral lists this ribosomal RNA (785 nucleotides) under uncultured bacterium. RNAcentral's name for it is "bacterial SSU rRNA". It matches the Rfam family "Bacterial small subunit ribosomal RNA", at positions 8 to 796 of the family's 1533-position model. The record is from RNAcentral.